Molecule: ribosomal RNA, 2890 nt
Filed under: Acinetobacter baumannii
Lineage: Bacteria; Pseudomonadati; Pseudomonadota; Gammaproteobacteria; Moraxellales; Moraxellaceae
Also listed under: 1 other name
Description: bacterial LSU rRNA
Rfam family: Bacterial large subunit ribosomal RNA
Source: RNAcentral
UCAAGUAAUUAAGUGCAUGUGGUGGAUGCCUUGGCAGUCAGAGGCGAUGAAAGACGUGAUAGCCUGCGAAAAGCUCCGGGGAGGCGGCAAAUAUCCUUUGAUCCGGAGAUGUCUGAAUGGGGGAACCCACCUACUUUAAGGUAGGUAUUGCAACAUGAAUACAUAGUGUUGCAAGGCGAACGAGGGGAAGUGAAACAUCUCAGUACCCUUAGGAAAAGAAAUCAAUUGAGAUUCCCUCAGUAGCGGCGAGCGAACGGGGAUCAGCCCAUUAAGUUAUGUGUGUUUUAGUGGAACGCUCUGGGAAGUGCGAACGUAGAGGGUGAUAUUCCCGUACACGAAAGGGCACACAUAAUGAUGACGAGUAGGGCGAGGCACGUGAAACCUUGUCUGAAUAUGGGGGACCAUCCUCCAAGGCUAAAUACUCCUGACUGACCGAUAGUGAACCAGUACCGUGAGGGAAAGGCGAAAAGAACCCCUGUGAGGGGAGUGAAAUAGAUCCUGAAACCGCAUGCAUACAAGCAGUGGGAGCACCUUCGUGGUGUGACUGCGUACCUUUUGUAUAAUGGGUCAGCGACUUAUAUUCAGUAGCGAGGUUAACCGUAUAGGGGAGCCGUAGAGAAAUCGAGUCUUAAUAGGGCGUUUAGUUGCUGGGUAUAGACCCGAAACCAGGCGAUCUAUCCAUGAGCAGGUUGAAGGUUGGGUAACACUAACUGGAGGACCGAACCCACUGUCGUUGAAAAGCCAGGGGAUGACUUGUGGAUAGGGGUGAAAGGCUAAUCAAGCCUGGUGAUAGCUGGUUCUCCCCGAAAGCUAUUUAGGUAGCGCCUCGGACGAAUACCAUAGGGGGUAGAGCACUGUUUCGGCUAGGGGGUCAUCCCGACUUACCAAACCGAUGCAAACUCCGAAUACCUAUGAGUACUAUCCGGGAGACAGACUGCGGGUGCUAACGUCCGUAGUCAAGAGGAAAACAAUCCAGACCGCCAGCUAAGGCCCCAAAAUCAUAGUUAAGUGGGAAACGAUGUGGGAAGGCAUAGACAGCUAGGAGGUUGGCUUAGAAGCAGCCACCCUUUAAAGAAAGCGUAAUAGCUCACUAGUCGAGUCGGCCUGCGCGGAAGAUGUAACGGGGCUAAAACUAUGUGCCGAAGCUGCGGAUGUAUACUUUGUAUACGUGGUAGGGGAGCGUUCUGUAAGCCGAUGAAGGUGUGUUGAGAAGCAUGCUGGAGGUAUCAGAAGUGCGAAUGCUGACGUGAGUAACGACAAAACGGGUGAAAAACCCGUUCGCCGAAAGACCAAGGGUUCCAGUCCAACGUUAAUCGGGGCUGGGUGAGUCGACCCCUAAGGCGAGGCCGAAAGGCGUAGUCGAUGGGAAAAUGGUUAAUAUUCCAUUACUUCUGUGUAAUGCGAUGAGAGGACGGAGAAGGCUAAAUCAGCCUGGCGUUGGUUGUCCAGGUGAAAGGAUGUAGGCAUGUAUCUUAGGCAAAUCCGGGGUACUCUAUGCUGAGAUCUGAUAGCAAGCUGUACUUGUACAGCGAAGUGGUUGAUGCCAUGCUUCCAGGAAAAGUCUCUAAGCUUCAGUUACACAGGAAUCGUACCCGAAACCGACACAGGUGGUCAGGUCGAGUAGACCAAGGCGCUUGAGAGAACUCUGCUGAAGGAACUAGGCAAAAUGGUACCGUAACUUCGGGAGAAGGUACGCUGUUGUUGGUGAUGGAACUCGCUUCCUGAGCUGACGACAGCCGCAGAAACCAGGCCGCUGCAACUGUUUAUUAAAAACAUAGCACUCUGCAAACACGAAAGUGGACGUAUAGGGUGUGAUGCCUGCCCGGUGCUGGAAGGUUAAUUGAUGGGGUUAGCGUAAGCGAAGCUCUUGAUCGAAGCCCCAGUAAACGGCGGCCGUAACUAUAACGGUCCUAAGGUAGCGAAAUUCCUUGUCGGGUAAGUUCCGACCUGCACGAAUGGCAUAAUGAUGGCGGCGCUGUCUCCAGCAGAGGCUCAGUGAAAUCGAAAUCGCUGUGAAGAUGCAGUGUACCCGCGGCUAGACGGAAAGACCCCGUGAACCUUUACUGCAGCUUGACACUGAACUUUGACCUUACUUGUGUAGGAUAGGUGGGAGGCUUUGAAGCUGGAACGCUAGUUCCAGUGGAGCCGUCCUUGAAAUACCACCCUGGUAAUGUUGAGGUUCUAACUCUGUCCCGUGAUCCGGGACGAGGACCGUGUCUGGUGGGUAGUUUGACUGGGGCGGUCUCCUCCUAAAGAGUAACGGAGGAGUACGAAGGUGCGCUCAGCGUGGUCGGAAAUCACGCGUAGAGUAUAAAGGCAAAAGCGCGCUUAACUGCGAGACCCACAAGUCGAGCAGGUACGAAAGUAGGUCUUAGUGAUCCGGUGGUUCUGUAUGGAAGGGCCAUCGCUCAACGGAUAAAAGGUACUCUGGGGAUAACAGGCUGAUACCGCCCAAGAGUUCAUAUCGACGGCGGUGUUUGGCACCUCGAUGUCGGCUCAUCUCAUCCUGGGGCUGAAGCAGGUCCCAAGGGUAUGGCUGUUCGCCAUUUAAAGAGGUACGCGAGCUGGGUUUAGAACGUCGUGAGACAGUUCGGUCCCUAUCUACCGUGGGCGCUGGAAAUUUGAGAGGAUCUGCUCCUAGUACGAGAGGACCAGAGUGGACGAACCUCUGGUGUACCGGUUGUGACGCCAGUCGCAUCGCCGGGUAGCUAUGUUCGGAAGGGAUAACCGCUGAAAGCAUCUAAGCGGGAAGCCUACCUCAAGAUAAGAUUUCCCUAGGACUUUAUGUCCUCUAAAGAGCCGUUCGAGACUAGGACGUUGAUAGGUUGGAUGUGGAAGCAUAGUGAUAUGUGAAGCUGACCAAUACUAAUUGCUCGUGAGGCUUGACUAU